This 455-nucleotide ribosomal RNA is filed under the name uncultured bacterium. RNAcentral describes it as "bacterial SSU rRNA". It matches the Rfam family "Bacterial small subunit ribosomal RNA", at positions 28 to 507 of the family's 1533-position model. The record is from RNAcentral.
GACGAACGCUGGCGGCGUGCCUAACACAUGCAAGUCGAACGAAGCAUAGCAAUAUGCUUAGUGGCGGACGGGUGAGUAACGCGUGAACAAUCUGCCCUGUACAAAGGAAUAGCCUCGGGAAACCGGGAUUAAAACCGUAUGACACUUUAGUAUCGCAUGAUAAGAAAGUCAAAUCGAAUAGAGGUAUGGGAUGAGUUCGCGUCUGAUUAGCUGGUUGGCGGGGUAAACGGCCCACCAAGGCGACGAUCAGUAGCCGGCCUGAGAGGGUGAACGGCCACACUGGAACUGAGACACGGUCCAGACUCCUACGGGAGGCAGCAGUGGGGAAUAUUGCACAAUGAGGGAACUCUGAUGCAGCGACGCCGCGUGAGUGGAAGAAGGUCUUCGGAUCGUAAAACUCUGUCCUUGGUGAAGAAAAGGACGGUAGCCAAGGAGGAAGCCCCGGUAACUACGUG